AUGAAGCGGAAUAAGCAGUCGAUGUUUAGUACCGAGACGUUACAUAAGAACUGGAAGGGAAUCGAGAACAGUAACAUGCGGAAGGAGAAGGACCACAAGACGGCAGACGCGACCUCGGCGAUGAUUCACCAGACUCCGGCUGUCUCCGGAACUUCCGGCCAGAACGUAACCCUGCGUUGCACAGUGGACGGUAUUACCAGUGAUACUGACUGGUUGUACUGUUUCAUCACUGAGAGAAUAAACACUCCAAGGAAGAUGCUUUUCUUUCUGCGGUUUCUCCUCGCCUUCCACUACGCGACCUCAGUGACGAUCCACCAGACUCCGGGUUUCUCCGGAACCCCCGGCCAGAAGGUGACCCUGAAUUGCACAGUAGAGGGUAGUACCAGUGCUAACAACUGGUUGUACUGGUACCGACAAUUCCCGGGAAAGGGACCGGAGUACAUGUUUCACUCGAUUGCAGCUAAUUACGUGCAGCCGGAGAAAUUGGUCGGCGGUUUUACUGCGGAGAGACCGAAGACCAACGAAAUCUUCCUGAAGUCUGACAAACUGGAGGCGAAAUCGUCGGCCCUAUAUAUCUGUGCGUGGAAAUACGAAGAAUACAGGACGGAUCGGGAACAGAGGAAACACGGGGCCUAA
Molecule: non-coding RNA, 636 nt
Organism: Mobula hypostoma (lesser devil ray)
Lineage: Eukaryota; Metazoa; Chordata; Chondrichthyes; Myliobatiformes; Myliobatidae
Source: the annotation of a RefSeq genome assembly